AGUUGUAUUGCUGGUUCACAUGGUAGAUGCAUGUUUUACUUUUUAAUGAAAUUUACAAAGUAUUUUCCAAAAAAUAAGAUAUACCAUUUUACAUUCCCUACAGCAGU
This 107-nucleotide microRNA precursor is filed under the name Marmota monax (woodchuck). Lineage: Eukaryota; Metazoa; Chordata; Mammalia; Rodentia; Sciuridae. The record is from RNAcentral.